This 132-nucleotide ribosomal RNA is filed under the name Clostridioides difficile. RNAcentral describes it as "partial 16S ribosomal RNA". It matches the Rfam family "Bacterial small subunit ribosomal RNA", at positions 1315 to 1446 of the family's 1533-position model. Lineage: Bacteria; Bacillati; Bacillota; Clostridia; Peptostreptococcales; Peptostreptococcaceae. The record is from RNAcentral.
CCUACAUGAAGCUGGAGUUACUAGUAAUCGCAGAUCAGAAUGCUGCGGUGAAUGCGUUCCCGGGUCUUGUACACACCGCCCGUCACACCACGGGAGUUGGAGACGCCCGAAGCCGAUUAUCUAACCUGUUGG